UAGGGAAUCUUCCGCAAUGGACGCAAGUCUGACGGAGCAACGCCGCGUGAGUGAAGAAGGAUUUCGGUUCGUAAAACUCUGUUGUUAGAGAAGAACAGCGCAUAGAGUAACUGUUAUGCGUGUGACGGUAUCUAACCAGAAAGCCACGGCUAACUACGUGCCAGCAGCCGCGGUAAUACGUAGGUGGCAAGCGUUGUCCGGAUUUAUUGGGCGUAAAGCGAGCGCAGGCGGUCAAUUAAGUCUGAUGUGAAAGCCCCCGGCUCAACCGGGGAGGGUCAUUGGAAACUGGUUGACUUGAGUGCAGAAGAGGAGAGUGGAAUUCCAUGUGUAGCGGUGAAAUGCGUAGAUAUAUGGAGGAACACCAGUGGAGAAGGCGACUCUCUGGUCUGUAACCGACGCUGAGGCUCGAAAGCGUGGGUAGCAAACAGG
This 429-nucleotide ribosomal RNA is filed under the name Bacteroidota bacterium. Its description in RNAcentral is "Bacteroidetes bacterium partial 16S ribosomal RNA". It matches the Rfam family "Bacterial small subunit ribosomal RNA", at positions 355 to 776 of the family's 1533-position model. Lineage: Bacteria; Pseudomonadati; Bacteroidota. The record is from RNAcentral.